This 502-nucleotide ribosomal RNA is filed under the name uncultured bacterium. RNAcentral's name for it is "partial 16S ribosomal RNA". It matches the Rfam family "Bacterial small subunit ribosomal RNA", at positions 30 to 523 of the family's 1533-position model. The record is from RNAcentral.
AUUGAACGCUGGCGGCAGGCUUAACACAUGCAAGUCGAGCGGGGUGAUGGUGCUUGCACUAUCACUUAGCGGCGGACGGGUGAGUAAUGCUUAGGAAUCUGCCUAUUAGUGGGGGACAACAUCUCGAAAGGGAUGCUAAUACCGCAUACGUCCUACGGGAGAAAGCAGGGGAUCACUUGUGACCUUGCGCUAAUAGAUGAGCCUAAGUCGGAUUAGCUAGUUGGUGGGGUAAAGGCCUACCAAGGCGACGCUCUGUAGCGGGUCUGAGAGGAUGAUCCGCCACACUGGGACUGAGACACGGCCCAGACUCCUACGGGAGGAAGCAGUGGGGAAUUUUGGACAAUGGGCGAAAGCCUGAUCCAGCCAUGCCGCGUGCAGGAUGAAGGCCUUCGGGUUGUAAACUGCUUUUGUACGGAACGAAAAGGUUUGGGCUAAUAAGCUGAGCUCAUGACGGUACCGUAAGAAUAAGCACCGGCUAACUACGUGCCAGCAGCCGCCGUAA